GUGCCAGCCGCCGCGGUAAUACAGAGGGUGCAAGCGUUAAUCGGAAUUACUGGGCGUAAAGCGCGCGUAGGUGGUUCGUUAAGUUGGAUGUGAAAUCCCCGGGCUCAACCUGGGAACUGCAUUCAAAACUGUCGAGCUAGAGUAUGGUAGAGGGUGGUGGAAUUUCCUGUGUAGCGGUGAAAUGCGUAGAUAUAGGAAGGAACACCAGUGGCGAAGGCGACCACCUGGACUGAUACUGACACUGAGGUGCGAAAGCGUGGGGAGCAAACAGGAUUAGAAACCCCCGUAGUCC
RNAcentral lists this ribosomal RNA (292 nucleotides) under uncultured prokaryote. Its description in RNAcentral is "partial 16S ribosomal RNA". It matches the Rfam family "Bacterial small subunit ribosomal RNA", at positions 505 to 796 of the family's 1533-position model. The record is from RNAcentral.